CCUACGGGGGGCAGCAGUGAGGAAUAUUGGUCAAUGGUCGGGAGACUGAACCAGCCAAGCCGCGUGAGGGAUGAAGGUACAGAGUAUCGUAAACCUCUUUUGUCAGGGAACAAAGGCGGGGACGCGUCCCCGGAUGAGUGUACCUGACGAACAAGCAUCGGCUAACUCCGUGCCAGCAGCCGCGGUAAUACGGGGGAUGCGAGCUUUAUCCGGAUUUCUGGGGUUUAAAGGGUGCGCGGGCGGUCUGUUAAGUCAGCGGGCAAAGCCCGGGGCUCACCCCCGGCCCGCCGUUGAAACUGGCAGUCUCGAGUUGGAGAGAAGUAGGCGGAAUGCGCGGUGUAGCGGUGAAAUGCAUAGAUAUCGCGCAGAACUCCGAUUGCGAAGGCAGCAUGCCGGCUCCACACUGACGCUGAGGCACGAAAGCGUGGGUAUCGAACAGGAUUAGAUACCCUAGUAGUC
Molecule: ribosomal RNA, 459 nt
Filed under: uncultured bacterium
Lineage: Bacteria
Description: partial 16S ribosomal RNA
Rfam family: Bacterial small subunit ribosomal RNA
Source: RNAcentral